RNAcentral lists this ribosomal RNA (408 nucleotides) under uncultured bacterium. RNAcentral describes it as "partial 16S ribosomal RNA". It matches the Rfam family "Bacterial small subunit ribosomal RNA", at positions 28 to 526 of the family's 1533-position model. The record is from RNAcentral.
GACGAACGCUGGAGGCGUGCUUAACACAUGCAAGUCGAACGGAGUGGCGAACGGGUGAGUAACACGUGGGUGACCUGCCCUGAACUACGGGAUAAGCAUGGGAAACUGGGGCUAAUAACGGAUAGUGUGGGAUGGGACCGCGGCCUAUCAGCUUGUGGGUGGGGUACUGGCCUACCAAGGCGGCGACGGGUAGCCGGCCUGAGGGGGUGGACGGACAAAUUGGGCCUGAGACACUGCCCCGACUCCUACGGGAGGCAGCAGUGGGGAAUAUUGCACAAUGGGCGGAAGCCUGAUUCAGCGACGCCGCGUGGGGGAUGACGGCCUUCGGGUUGUAAACUCCUUUCACCAUCGACGCUGUAGAUGGAGAAGAAGCACCGGCUAACUACGUGCCAGCAGCCGCGGUAAUUC